This 2599-nucleotide long non-coding RNA is filed under the name Leguminivora glycinivorella. RNAcentral's name for it is "uncharacterized LOC125228837". The record is from RNAcentral. Lineage: Eukaryota; Metazoa; Arthropoda; Insecta; Lepidoptera; Tortricidae.
CUAAAUGUAAUGUACUCGUAUAGCCUUCCCAUCAGUUGCUCAUACCAAGCGGCAAGCGCCCCAGUCUUAUAAGAUGUGCUUGAAUUUGAUAUAAUUAUUAUUGUUGCACAGCUCAGCACAUAAUAUGUGCAGUGCAGUGCAUUCCAACUUUCAUUAUCAUUUAAUAUGUUAUCUUUUAUUCGAGAUACCGUUAGUACAAACUCCGUGUUAAAAAAAAUUGAAUAAAUAUGAAAAAAUUAAAAGUAUCAAAACUAUUUGUCAGUUAUUUCUUAAUUGCAUUGCAUGCAUAUUUUACGUAAAUGAAUACUUCUUUAAAUAUACUUACUAAUAAAUGAGACUAAUUACUAGGAAAUCAAAUCAAAAUAGGCAAUUUCGUAUUAAAUACCACACAAAUAAAUGAAAUAAAUACCUCGUUCUCAAAGUAUUGCUUUUAUACAAUUUUGUAAGGAUUGUAGCGAAAACGAAAAAGUAGUGGUAAAACAUUUAAGUUGGUAACCCUGACGCCCCUUGUGACGCCACGAACAGCCGCACGCACACCAGUCCGCCAUCUUUCUUACCUUUUUGAUUGUUGACUUCAUGACUUGUAAAUUUUGUAAUUAGUUUUUGCCGACGUCCACCGUGCCGUUUUUUAAGUAAUUUUUGGUAUUUUACAAAUUGUGUUACUUUAGUGGACACGUGGAGACAUGGACGCUGACUGUUGGAAGAAUUCGUCAAUUCAGACUGGCGCAAAGAGCUAUCAGGGGUCGAUGCCAGGAAUUUCAUUGCGAGACAGAAUUCGAAAUGAGGAUAUUCGCCAACGCAAUAAAGUUACCGACAUUGCAAAAAGGAUUAACUCAAGUGGGAAUGGACCGGCUAUAUUUUUCGCAGAGAUGACGAUCAAUGGGGUCGCCUAGUAUUGCUGUGGAGACCUAGCCUGGGUGGCCGAGGUGGCGGGAAACCACGAGCAGAUGGUCGGAUGACAUCAAAAAAGGGCAGGGCCCACCUGGCACAGAACCGUCACAUAUAGAACGGAGUGGAAACCCACGGAAUGCAGACCAGGAUUAUAUACUUUAGGUAUGAGUUUGUUACUUUUGCUCAUAAUAACAUGGAGUAUGUCACAGCUGCUCCACGGGCUGCAUUGAGGGGCAACAGGAGCGAAAAUGUUAAAAUGGAAAGGAGCUCCCCCUUUCAAUUAGGGAAUCUUAGGAUAUGCUAAGGCAAACAGAAGGAGGCAAGGAACGGGACGGGACUGCAUCAAUUGCUGUCUGGAACCAAUCUUGUGGGAUGACUUCUGGACAGGGAAAAAACAAUUUCAUCAUCUACCCUAAUACUGACGAAUGUUCUAAAACGUGCUGUAAGGCAGACAUUUCCAAAUGUAACGGAGGAAAGUUUCGAGACAUGUAAUGGUUUCAACACGCUGCUGAGACCCAACUCAAGAGACGUCAGUUUGUACUGUUUAGUCCAUUCUCUAUUGGGCAUGCUUGUAUUGAGAGGUAUAUAUAUUGGAGUACAGACAUGGUGUUUGGUAUGAGUAUUAUAUACAUCCUCUUGAGUCAAAUAGGACCGGUAGCCACUUUGAACUCCGUGUCCGAAAGGGUCAAAGUAUGGAGCUCCCGGUACUCAGAAAAAAAAUUCUGGCCUAUUAGUUUUGAACUUUCGAGUCAAGUUUGGUGUCAUUUUUAUGUAAACUAUUCGUUUCGUUUUUAAAUUGAAGAAGAUUAAAAAUCACAGUAAUAUUAUAAAGGCAAAAGUUUGUGAGCAUACUGUGUUUGUUACUUCCUCACGCCACGCCCAAGUGCCUUAACAAAUAUUAUUUAUAAAAUUAAGUAUGGAGGAAGUACGAUAUACCCUAAGUUAACACGUCACUUCUUCUUGAUCGUGGGUAACACUCGGGGCGCAGUAUAAUGAUUAUUAAAAAUCUUUAUGCUGUCCCCUAUGCUGCGAUGGCGAUCGUUGCAGUACUUUCAAUAUUUUUUUUACAUCAAAUAUUAGAAUCAUCAAAGAUUACUAAUAAAAUAGGCUUUUUAGAAAUAUUUUUUAAAAAUCAUGAUUAGUAUAAAAAUACGGAAAUAUGAGGAUUUGUUUGCAUUUCGUGGCUACUAAAAAUUCAUUUAAAUUAUUAAAUAUUGUGCUAUAUUUUGCUAUGGAACCCUAAAAAAGUAGUUACAUAAAAAUGACACUAAAAUUGACUCAAAAGCUCAAACUAAUCGGCCAGAAUUUUUUUCUGAGCAGCAGGAGCUCCAUACUUUGACCCCCUCUCCCCCUUCGGACACGGAGUUCAAAGUGGCUACCGGUCUUGUUUGACUCGGGAGGACGUGUAUAAUACCCAUACUAAACGCCAAUGCUCUACUCAAAAAUUCACCUUUUCCCAAUAGAGAACGGACUGUGUUAGACAGUGCAUGUUGUUACACGGUAAAUUUUUCUAGAAGACCAAAUUUAUAAGUUCCUUAGUUAUUCUAUUUUUAACUAAAUAAGUUCUUGUACUAUAAGCAGUGAUCGGAAUAGGCAGAGUAGAUAUAUUUAUUUUUAAACGAAAUGACUUCCUUGCGAUAGUAUUUUUUCAGUACAGAUGGUGUUUUUUUUACGCACUAGUGCGAGAAGUGGUUCAUUAUACGCCAGG